Molecule: non-coding RNA, 186 nt
Filed under: Syntrophobacteraceae bacterium
Lineage: Bacteria; Pseudomonadati; Thermodesulfobacteriota; Syntrophobacteria; Syntrophobacterales; Syntrophobacteraceae
Source: RNAcentral
CACAGUUGUUGUUCAUCAGGUACCGCAAGGUUCAAUAGGGAAUCCCGUGCAAUCCGGGAACGGUCCCGCCGCUGUGAACGGGGACGAAAUCCGCCAAAGCCACUGUCACGCGCAAAGCGUGAUGGGAAGGGGUGGAGACUAGGACGAUCCGUGAGUCAGAAGACCUGCCUGAUGAUCCAGGGUCGA